GCAAGAUUAAAACUCAAAGGAAUAGACGGGGACCCGCACAAGCGGUGGAGCAUGUGGUUUAAUUCGACGAUACGCGAAGAACCUUACCUGGCCUUGACAUAGACAGAACUUUCCAGAGACGGAUUGGUGCUAGUUUACUAGAACUGUCAUACAGGUGCUGCACGGCUGUCGUCAGCUCGUGUCGUGAGAUGUUGGGUUAAGUCCCGCAACGAGCGCAACCCUCGUGUUUAGUUACUAACAGUUCGGCUGAGGACUCUAAACAGACUGCCUGGGUAACCAGGAGGAAGGUGAGGACGACGUCAAGUCAUCAUGGCCCUUACGGCCAGGGCUACACACGUGCUACAAUGGGGUAUACAAAGAGCUGCAAUACAGUGACGUGGAGCAAAUCUCAUAAAAUAUCUCCCAGUUCGGAUUGAAGUCUGCAACUCGACUUCAUGAAGUUGGAAUCGCUAGUAAUCGUAGAUCAGCAAUGCUACGGUGAAUACGUUCCCGGGUCUUGUACUCACCGCCCGUCACACCAUGGGAAUUGAAUUCAUUCGAAGCGGGGAUGCUAAAAUAGCUACCUUCCACAGUGGAUUUAGUAACUAGGGUGAAGUCGUAACAAGGUA
Molecule: ribosomal RNA, 608 nt
Filed under: uncultured bacterium
Lineage: Bacteria
Description: bacterial SSU rRNA
Rfam family: Bacterial small subunit ribosomal RNA
Source: RNAcentral